CGCCGUCGAGAAGAUCUGCGGGUACGAGGUGAAUCUUGCCGCUCCUGCACACAGAAAGCGAUGGAUACCAACAGUGAGGCCGACGUCUCAUGAGCCAAAACAUUGUCACUCAACUAUUUGCGUUUCUUGGCAGAAUUCAGAUAUGCAGCGGCGAGUCAAUGCUCUAGUUUAUGAACGAUUCCUCAGGGAAUUGUUGAAAAUGACCUGUCCUAGAUGAUCCAAGAUGCAAGGUCCAAAAACUACGGUGGAUUUUCCAUGAUGACAUGAUAUAUCACACGACUCCAAUUCAGGCUGAUGCAUGCGGCUUGCCAAUUAUGGAGAGCUUUUCUACGGUCCCUCAGAACAAUCUCAAGAACAUAUGGUUUGCAAUUGCAUACCGUGGUGAUUGGCGAAAAGGUUGCCGGGGUUGAGAGGAUCAGGCUGCGGCUUCCGACGCCGCUUGUU
Molecule: long non-coding RNA, 444 nt
Organism: Oryza sativa Japonica Group (Japanese rice)
Lineage: Eukaryota; Viridiplantae; Streptophyta; Magnoliopsida; Poales; Poaceae
Source: RefSeq, a predicted model, not a curated record